UUUCUGUGGAGUCAGUCUUCAGGAGUUGUUGAACAGAUACUACAAUAUCAUGACAGGCCAGGCCCCGGAGGAUUCAAUUCGACUCCCAAUACUGCAUCGCUGCCUGAGCCAUGUAAUGAAAAUGCCAAGGACCUUUGCAAAAAACAUGCCCCAAAACAUUACCACCUAGCAAUGCAUACCUUCGGUGUUAUGGCUCAGGCCACAACAAUUGAAGAGCUUGAAGAAAUCAUUGUCAGUGCUGCUGUUGUGUUCUCAAGUUCCCACAGUGGCCAAAAAGUUGACAAACAUUUCAAAAACCUUCAGUUGAUAAUGACACAAGGAGGAAGAACUGACAUUGAGGACUCAUCCAUUGUGGAGCUGGAUUUUAUGAAUGAUGUGGGAGUAACAUCAUUCCAACAUCAUUUUGAACGAGUGAUUAAGCAGGAGGAAGGAGACAAGGACGUUGAGCCCAAUAUGUAUCUUAGUCCAACAUUCAUUCCUGCAUUAACAAAGUUCUUCAUACCUCAGGCUGCCUUGUAGACUGGACUACUCUUGGAAUUACUCUCAAGACAACCACACACAGGGCAUCAUGGAGAAAAGUCAGUGAGACCUUAAGAGGAUACGUUUUCAAAGAAGACGGCUUACCCAAUUGGAUGACUUGUGGUGACUUACAAGAUGACCCUGAAUGGUCUUUUGAGAGUUCAGAGAUUCAUUGAAGGGCAAGCAAAG
Long non-coding RNA from Betta splendens (Siamese fighting fish), 708 nucleotides. RefSeq lists it as uncharacterized. The record is from RefSeq and is a predicted model, not a curated record. Lineage: Eukaryota; Metazoa; Chordata; Actinopteri; Anabantiformes; Osphronemidae. The transcript is spliced from 4 exons.